Molecule: long non-coding RNA, 529 nt
Organism: Bombyx mori (domestic silkworm)
Lineage: Eukaryota; Metazoa; Arthropoda; Insecta; Lepidoptera; Bombycidae
Exons: 3
Source: RefSeq, a predicted model, not a curated record
GUGAGCAUUGUUACACGAUUUAGUGCAAAACAAAUCGAUGGAGAUUCUAAAUUAGAAAUCAUUCGACCAAAUUUAAAGCAUCACAUGAAUAUUUGGUUUUCCUCGUAUGAAUAACUAAACUGCAAAACAAAAACACAUUGAUUUACCAAGUUGGUCAAGAUUCAAUGAUCCGGAAUCGAAAACUAAAACCGAACCAUCAUUAGUUACAAGCGGCUACCUAUCUAUUUCUGGCGCGAAGGAGUCUUUAACCUUAACCACUUAACUGUGAGAUCGUCCACCCAUCUGAGUAAUGGAAAAAAUGGAUAUACUAUGGAUAUACGGAGAUAUGAGCCAAAGAGGAUCGACGUCAGGCAGACGGGGGCCGAUCCUACGAGAUAUCCGUGCCUAGGGGGUACACGGGGCAUGUGGGACUUGACAUGCUGCAGAUAUUGGGAGCAGACUACAAGCCUAUUGAAAUUCACAAAGUAAUUUGACCAGGACGUCCGAUUAACUUGAAAAUCACGUAUUAUGGACCUAUGGAUGACAUCGA